This 721-nucleotide ribosomal RNA is filed under the name uncultured bacterium. RNAcentral's name for it is "bacterial SSU rRNA". It matches the Rfam family "Bacterial small subunit ribosomal RNA", at positions 31 to 747 of the family's 1533-position model. The record is from RNAcentral.
GGACCGGCGGGCGUGCUUACACAUGCAAGUCGAGCGGUAACAGGUGUAGCAAUACAUGCUGACGAGCGGCGAACGGGUGAGUAAUGCUUCGGAAUCUUCCUCGUAGUGGGGAAUAACCUGGGGAAACUCAGGCUAAUACCGCAUACGACCUACGGGUGAAAGCGGGGGAUCGCAAGACCUCGCGCGAUAAGAUGAGCCGAUGUCGGAUUAGCUAGUUGGCGGGGUAAAGGCCCACCAAGGCGACGAUCCGUAGCUGGUCUGAGAGGAUGAUCAGCCACACUGGAACUGAGACACGGUCCAGACUCCUACGGGAGGCAGCAGUGGGGAAUAUUGGACAAUGGGCGCAAGCCUGAUCCAGCCAUGCCGCGUGGGUGAAGAAGGCCUUCGGGUUGUAAAGCCCUUUUGUCCGGAAAGAAAAGCACUGGAUUAAUACUUCGGUGUUCUGACGGUACCGGAAGAAUAAGCACCGGCUAACUUCGUGCCAGCAGCCGCGGUAAUACGAAGGGUGCAAGCGUUACUCGGAAUUACUGGGCGUAAAGCGUGCGUAGGUGGUUCGUUAAGUUGGACGUGAAAGCCCUGGGCUCAACCCAGGAAUUGCAUUCAAAACUACAGGCCUAGAGUGAUGGAGAGGGUAGCAGAAUUCCUGGUGUAGAGGUGAAAUUCGUAGAUAUCAGGAGGAACACCGGUGGCGAAGGCGGCUGCCUGGACAUCAACUGACGCU